UUUUUUUGCAAGAAUUCUGAAAGUUUCAGACAAUGGAAUGAAUUAAGAAAUGACGACAAAUUCAGUAAGUAAAAAAUACUGCUUACAUAGCGGGUCACUGACUUUUCUACUGCUAUAACACCAUGAAGGUCACAUUGAACAGGGUUUCCGGUUUUAGGGUCUGAUACCACAAUGGCAGAACAAAGGCAUGGUGACAGGAACAACUGAGAGCUCACAUCUUGAUCCACAAGAAGAAGACAGAGACACUGAGAAUGGCAUUGACAUCUGAAACCUCAAAGCCAGUCCCCAGUGACACACCUCCUCCAACAAGACCACGCCUCCUAAUCCUUCCCAAAGAGUUUCACCAACUGGGGACCAAGAAUUCAGCUAUGUGAGCCUGUGUCGGGUAUCAUUGAACCACCUUAAAUACCGUCUAGAGUCACAGAAAGUCUAAGAAGAGGGUGAAUUGGAACCUGAGCAUCUUGGCUGCAGGAUCUGAGUGUUGAUGACAUAGGAGCCGAUGCCACUCCGGGGCCUGUUACCUCUUCUGUGCAUUAGGAAGAGGAAGGUCAUUGCUAUUUGCAGACCCUUGUUGAGCACCGGACGAAGCUGAGGUGGGCUGCCCUCAGAUCCUUUGUACCACUCUUCCCUCACUGUGCCACACCUGUCCCGGCUCUAUGCUAGGGGAUUCCUCUCUAUCACCAGGCUCUGCUAUCUAUCUCAGCAGAGUACAUGCUGGGACAAGACCUCCGUGUGAAAGCCCAAGCUCUCUGGUGACACUUCUUCUCCACCGGGAGGGUUGAGGAGUGACAUGAGGAUUUGGGGGGUAAGGGGAUCACCCAGGUUCUGAACUGACAGAUGAGAUGGGCUUCCCUCCUGUCCCGGUUGUACCUUGAGUGGUCUGCUAUUCAAGGGUUAAAGGGGACCAUGUGAGCCACUUAAGGAAAUAAACAGCUUUCCAACAUC
Non-coding RNA from Mus caroli (Ryukyu mouse), 945 nucleotides. The record is from RefSeq and is a predicted model, not a curated record. NCBI's taxonomy places the organism in Eukaryota, Metazoa, Chordata, Mammalia, Rodentia, Muridae.